This 982-nucleotide ribosomal RNA is filed under the name Salmonella enterica subsp. enterica serovar Enteritidis. RNAcentral's name for it is "bacterial SSU rRNA". It matches the Rfam family "Bacterial small subunit ribosomal RNA", at positions 543 to 1533 of the family's 1533-position model. The record is from RNAcentral. Lineage: Bacteria; Pseudomonadati; Pseudomonadota; Gammaproteobacteria; Enterobacterales; Enterobacteriaceae.
AUCCGGAUUUAUUGGGUUUAAAGGGAGCGUAGAUGGAUGUUUAAGUCAGUUGUGAAAGUUUGCGGCUCAACCGUAAAAUUGCAGUUGAUACUGGAUAUCUUGAGUGCAGUUGAGGCAGGCGGAAUUCGUGGUGUAGCGGUGAAAUGCUUAGAUAUCACGAAGAACUCCGAUUGCGAAGGCAGCCUGCUAAGCUGCAACUGACAUUGAGGCUCGAAAGUGUGGGUAUCAAACAGGAUUAGAUACCCUGGUAGUCCACACGGUAAACGAUGAAUACUCGCUGUUUGCGAUAUACUGCAAGCGGCCAAGCGAAAGCGUUAAGUAUUCCACCUGGGGAGUACGCCGGCAACGGUGAAACUCAAAGGAAUUGACGGGGGCCCGCACAAGCGGAGGAACAUGUGGUUUAAUUCGAUGAUACGCGAGGAACCUUACCCGGGCUUAAAUUGCAGAUGAAUUACGGUGAAAGCCGUAAGCCGCAAGGCAUCUGUGAAGGUGCUGCAUGGUUGUCGUCAGCUCGUGCCGUGAGGUGUCGGCUUAAGUGCCAUAACGAGCGCAACCCUUGUUGUCAGUUACUAACAGGUUCCGCUGAGGACUCUGACAAGACUGCCAUCGUAAGAUGUGAGGAAGGUGGGGAUGACGUCAAAUCAGCACGGCCCUUACGUCCGGGGCUACACACGUGUUACAAUGGGGGGUACAGAGGGCCGCUACCACGCGAGUGGAUGCCAAUCCCCAAAACCUCUCUCAGUUCGGACUGGAGUCUGCAACCCGACUCCACGAAGCUGGAUUCGCUAGUAAUCGCGCAUCAGCCACGGCGCGGUGAAUACGUUCCCGGGCCUUGUACACACCGCCCGUCAAGCCAUGGGAGCCGGGGGUACCUGAAGUGCGUAACCGCGAGGAGCGCCCUAGGGUAAAACUGGUGACUGGGGCUAAGUCGUAACAAGGUAGCCGUACCGGAAGGUGCGGCUGGAACACCUCCUUUCUGGAG